Molecule: ribosomal RNA, 253 nt
Filed under: uncultured bacterium
Lineage: Bacteria
Description: partial 16S ribosomal RNA
Rfam family: Bacterial small subunit ribosomal RNA
Source: RNAcentral
GACGAACCGUGCGAACGUUAUUCGGAAUCACUGGGCUUAAAGGGCGCGUAGGCGGGCGGACAAGUCGGGGGUGAAAUCGUUCGGCCCAACCGGACAAGGGCCCCCGAUACUGGCCGUCUCGAGGGAGGUAGGGGUCGAUGGAACUUCCGGUGGAGCGGUGAAAUGCGUAGAUAUCAGGAGGAACACCGAUGGCGAAGGCAGGUCUCUGGGCUGACACUGACGCUCAUGCACGAAAGCGUGGGGAGCAAACAGG